This 519-nucleotide long non-coding RNA is filed under the name Mus spicilegus (steppe mouse). RNAcentral describes it as "lncRNA (ENSMSIG00000003672.1)". The record is from RNAcentral. Lineage: Eukaryota; Metazoa; Chordata; Mammalia; Rodentia; Muridae.
GACUCGAAAGCUCUUCACUGUGGAAUAAAGACUCUGUCGGCUGAUGCAAGGUGCCAGCGGACAGCAUAUGCCUGUGUGAAUUGAAUCAUUUCUCCAGCGCUCUGGUUUCCAGCUUUGUCUCUCAUUUGCAUGGUGUGUCCCAUGUUCGUUUCAUUUCCCUUCGGAUUACAUAUGCAGGCCACGUGGAAUCCAUACCUUCCUCUUUUCCUGACUCUGAAGCAGACAUUGGUCAGGCUGAAGGCCUCGUUUUCCUAGUCCCCCUGUCCUUUCCUGUAAUGGUCAGGAGAGAACUCAGACACAGUGGCCACAGUUCAAGAAAGACAAAGGGCGACCGUAAACUAUACCUUAACUCGUGGAACUUCUUCAUGGGGCGAGACCAACUGCCUAUACCUUCAGUUCCAGAUGGUUUGCUGAAGACUCCAGUCCUGUCCUGGGAAAUCUCAUGACUCUUCUUGUCUUUUUUCCACUGUUGAAUCCCAUCUUCUGUUUCCUUUUGUGUGUAUCAGCUGAGUAUUGUGA